Molecule: unclassified non-coding RNA, 433 nt
Filed under: soil metagenome
Description: partial contains 5.8S ribosomal RNA, internal transcribed spacer 2, and large subunit ribosomal RNA
Rfam family: 5.8S ribosomal RNA (bases 1-120)
Source: RNAcentral
GAUGAAGAACGUAGCGAAAUGCGAUACGUAAUGUGAAUUGCAGAAUUCAGUGAAUCAUCGAAUCUUUGAACGCAUAUUGCGCUCUCUGGUAUUCCGGAGAGCAUGCUUGUUUGAGUAUCAGUAAACACCUCAACUUCCAUAUCUUUUUUGAAAUGGGAGUUGGACUUGAGUGAUCCCAACGCUUUUCCUCACCGAAAAGUGGCGGGUUACUUGAAAUGCAGGUUCAGCUGGACUUUUCUCUGAGCUAUAAGCAUAUCUAUUUAGUCUGCCUAAAAAACAGAUUAUUACCUUUGCUGCAGCUAACAUAAAGGAGAUUAGUUCUUGUGCUGACUGAUGCAGGAUUCACAAAGACAGGCUUCGGCCGACUUUGUAAACUCGAUCUCAAAUCAAGUAAGACUACCCGCUGAACUUAAGCAUAUCAAUAAGCGGAGGA